This 251-nucleotide ribosomal RNA is filed under the name uncultured bacterium. RNAcentral's name for it is "partial 16S ribosomal RNA". It matches the Rfam family "Bacterial small subunit ribosomal RNA", at positions 524 to 776 of the family's 1533-position model. The record is from RNAcentral.
UACGGAGGGUGCAAGCGUUAUCCGGAUUUAUUGGGUUUAAAGGGUCCGUAGGCGGAUCUGUAAGUCAGUGGUGAAAUCUCACAGCUUAACUGUGAAACUGCCAUUGAUACUGCAGGUCUUGAGUAAAGUAGAAGUGCUGGAAUAAGUAGUGUAGCGGUGAAAUGCAUAGAUAUUACUUAGAACACCAAUUGCGAAGGCAGGUCACUAUGUUUAACUGACGCUGAUGGACGAAAGCGUGGGGAGCGAACAGG